Molecule: ribosomal RNA, 803 nt
Filed under: Staphylococcus aureus
Lineage: Bacteria; Bacillati; Bacillota; Bacilli; Caryophanales; Staphylococcaceae
Description: partial 23S ribosomal RNA
Rfam family: Bacterial large subunit ribosomal RNA
Source: RNAcentral
GAUUAAGUUAUUAAGGGCGCACGGUGGAUGCCUUGGCACUAGAAGCCGAUGAAGGACGUUACUAACGACGAUAUGCUUUGGGGAGCUGUAAGUAAGCUUUGAUCCAGAGAUUUCCGAAUGGGGAAACCCAGCAUGAGUUAUGUCAUGUUAUCGAUAUGUGAAUACAUAGCAUAUCAGAAGGCACACCCGGAGAACUGAAACAUCUUAGUACCCGGAGGAAGAGAAAGAAAAUUCGAUUCCCUUAGUAGCGGCGAGCGAAACGGGAAGAGCCCAAACCAACAAGCUUGCUUGUUGGGGUUGUAGGACACUCUAUACGGAGUUACAAAGGACGACAUUAGACGAAUCAUCUGGAAAGAUGAAUCAAAGAAGGUAAUAAUCCUGUAGUCGAAAAUGUUGUCUCUCUUGAGUGGAUCCUGAGUACGACGGAGCACGUGAAAUUCCGUCGGAAUCUGGGAGGACCAUCUCCUAAGGCUAAAUACUCUCUAGUGACCGAUAGUGAACCAGUACCGUGAGGGAAAGGUGAAAAGCACCCCGGAAGGGGAGUGAAAUAGAACCUGAAACCGUGUGCUUACAAGUAGUCAGAGCCCGUUAAUGGGUGAUGGCGUGCCUUUUGUAGAAUGAACCGGCGAGUUACGAUUUGAUGCAAGGUUAAGCAGUAAAUGUGGAGCCGUAGCGAAAGCGAGUCUGAAUAGGGCGUUUAGUAUUUGGUCGUAGACCCGAAACCAGGUGAUCUACCCUUGGUCAGGUUGAAGUUCAGGUAACACUGAAUGGAGGACCGAACCGACUUACGUUGAAAAGUGAGC